GGCGGACGGGUGAGUAAUGCUUGGGAACAUGCCUUGAGGUGGGGGACAACAGUUGGAAACGACUGCUAAUACCGCAUAAUGUCUACGGACCAAAGGGGGCUUCGGCUCUCGCCUUUAGAUUGGCCCAAGUGGGAUUAGCUAGUUGGUGAGGUAAUGGCUCACCAAGGCGACGAUCCCUAGCUGGUUUGAGAGGAUGAUCAGCCACACUGGGACUGAGACACGGCCCAGACUCCUACGGGAGGCAGCAGUGGGGAAUAUUGCACAAUGGGCGCAAGCCCGAUGCAGCCAUGCCGCGUGUGUGAAGAAGGCCUUCGGGUUGUAAAGCACUUUCAGUCAGGAGGAAAGGUUAGUAGUUAAUACCUGCUAGCUGUGACGUUACUGACAGAAGAAGCACCGGCUAACUCCGUGCCAGCAGCCGCGGUAAUACGGAGGGUGCGAGCGUUAAUCGGAAUUACUGGGCGUAAAGCGUAC
This 471-nucleotide ribosomal RNA is filed under the name uncultured Pseudoalteromonas sp. RNAcentral describes it as "bacterial SSU rRNA". It matches the Rfam family "Bacterial small subunit ribosomal RNA", at positions 97 to 570 of the family's 1533-position model. Lineage: Bacteria; Pseudomonadati; Pseudomonadota; Gammaproteobacteria; Alteromonadales; Pseudoalteromonadaceae. The record is from RNAcentral.